UAAAGAAAUUGCCGAGUCGGUCCGUA
This 26-nucleotide non-coding RNA is filed under the name Mus musculus (house mouse). Lineage: Eukaryota; Metazoa; Chordata; Mammalia; Rodentia; Muridae. The record is from RNAcentral.